GGUGAAAUGGCUGAUAAUAAGCAAUAAACUGUAAAUUUAUUUAUGAAUAUUAAAUUCUUUCACCA
RNAcentral lists this transfer RNA (65 nucleotides) under Staphylinidae sp. BMNH 1274642. Its description in RNAcentral is "tRNA-Tyr". It matches the Rfam family "tRNA". From Rfam's summary of the family: Transfer RNA (tRNA) molecules are approximately 80 nucleotides in length. Their secondary structure includes four short double-helical elements and three loops (D, anti-codon, and T loops). Lineage: Eukaryota; Metazoa; Arthropoda; Insecta; Coleoptera; Staphylinidae. The record is from RNAcentral.